Bos taurus (domestic cattle) is the source of this 451-nucleotide long non-coding RNA. Lineage: Eukaryota; Metazoa; Chordata; Mammalia; Artiodactyla; Bovidae. The record is from Ensembl.
CUAACCUGUGAAGUGCCGCUCAGACGCCCCUCCGAGAAUGGAGGUCUGGGCAGCUGUGUGCCCGCCUGCAGUGACUGACAGACAGGAGGGCUGCCUCAGGCCAACUGAGGACAGUGCUGAAGGGUCUUCUCCACGCAGAGCUACCCGCUGGGCCUCUGUCCUCUCACCCAACCUGCUGCCCUGCCUCUCCUCUCACAAGAGCGGCUCCUGAGAGCAACUCGAGUGAACUUCCGGCCCGCGCGUCUCCCCUGGAGUCAGCUUCCUGGGGAACGCAACCUGCCACAGGUGUGCCCCUUUCACUCCGCACAACAGCUCUGGGAAGAGUGGAAGAUGAGGAGGAGGAUCUCUGUCUAACAGACUUCUGCUUCAGAAAAAUAUUUGGGGAAACUGCUGUCUGGUGACCCUUCUUGGAUCACAUCAUUUGGCUCCUCAUCACUUGGGCAAAUCAGCU